CGCGGCUCGGAGCCGCGCCCCGAUCCGGCACCAGAGGGCGCCCUUGCACCAGGAUCCCGCCUGAGGCAUGAGGCGGCGCGCUCGGGGGAGGUGAUGUGACUUCCCCAGAGUAGUGAACGGUGUGUCAGUACUUACCGGUCAGCUACACUGAGCUUCUUUCCUUUUGGGGGAGAAUCCAGUUCCAGGUGUUUGGCAAUGGCAGAGGCAGAAGCAGACACUAUCAGCAAGUUUUAGCACCCUUGACAGCCACUACUGAUGAUUAUGUUACAUCACUGAAAAGGAUGGAAUUACUCACAUAUCCUCAGGUAAGUGUCUUUGGGUUAUUCAUCUGCUCUCAGAUUAAACAUUACUGUCAAUAGCACAAGAUGAAAUUUGCGUUACUGUAAUAAUGGCAUUGUCUUUUUUUUUUUCCUUUUGGUGGACAAG
RNAcentral lists this long non-coding RNA (426 nucleotides) under Phasianus colchicus (ring-necked pheasant). Its description in RNAcentral is "lncRNA (ENSPCLG00000001126.1)". Lineage: Eukaryota; Metazoa; Chordata; Aves; Galliformes; Phasianidae. The record is from RNAcentral.